Molecule: ribosomal RNA, 452 nt
Filed under: uncultured Meiothermus sp.
Lineage: Bacteria; Thermotogati; Deinococcota; Deinococci; Thermales; Thermaceae
Description: bacterial SSU rRNA
Rfam family: Bacterial small subunit ribosomal RNA
Source: RNAcentral
GGUGAACGCUGGCGGUAUGCCUAAGACAUGCAAGUCGCACGGGCCGGUUUCGGCCGGCCAGUGGCGGACGGGUGAGUAACACGUGGGAGACGUGCCCUCAAGCGGGGGAAAACCGGGGGAAACCCCGGCUAAUCCCCCAUGUGGACGGCCGCUGUGGCGGCCGUCUAAAGCCUCGGCGCUUGGGGAUCGGCCCGCGGCGCAUCAGGUAGUUGGUGGGGUAAGGGCCCACCAAGCCGACGACGCGUAGCUGGUCUGAGAGGACGACCAGCCACAGGAGCACUGAGACACGGGCUCCACUCCUACGGGAGGCAGCAGUUAGGAAUCUUCGGCAAUGGGCGAAAGCCUGACCGAGCGAUACCGCUUGAAGGACGAAGCCCCUCGGGGUGUAAACUUCUGAACUCGGGACGAUGGUGACGGUACCGAGGUAAUAGCACCGGCUAACUCCGUGCCAG